GACGAACGCUGGCGGCGUGCUUAACACAUGCAAGUCGAACGGAAAGGCCCUGCUUUUGUGGGGUGCUCGAGUGGCGAACGGGUGAGUAACACAUGAUUAACCUGCCCUUGGCUUUAGGAUAACUUGAGGAAAGCGGGGCUAAUACCGGAUAGGAGCUCCUGCGGCAUGGUGGGGGUUGGAAAGUUUCGGCCGUGGGGGAUGGACUCGCGGCUUAUCAGCUUGUUGGUGGAGUAGUGACUUACCAAGCCUUUGACGGUUAGCCGGCCUGAGAGGGUGAACAGCCUCAAUGGGCCUAAGAUACGGCCCAGAGUGCUACGGGAGGAAGCAGUGGGGAAUAUUGUCCAAUGUGCGGAAGUAUGAUGCAGAGAUCGCGCGUGCGGGAAGACGGCUUUCGGGUUACAAACCGCUUUAGCCUGAGACGAAGCGUGUGUGACGUUAACAGGUAAAGAAGCACCGGCUAACUACGUG
This 468-nucleotide ribosomal RNA is filed under the name uncultured bacterium. RNAcentral's name for it is "partial 16S ribosomal RNA". It matches the Rfam family "Bacterial small subunit ribosomal RNA", at positions 28 to 507 of the family's 1533-position model. The record is from RNAcentral.